Chiloscyllium plagiosum (whitespotted bambooshark) is the source of this 1439-nucleotide non-coding RNA. Lineage: Eukaryota; Metazoa; Chordata; Chondrichthyes; Orectolobiformes; Hemiscylliidae. The record is from RefSeq and is a predicted model, not a curated record.
UUGCCAUUGUUUCCACGUGGCAUUGGAGUGUCAGCAAUUUCGGGUCCGUUCUGAGAUAAUUCAGAAUCUGUCAGGAAACGAAUUUGCAGUGGCACCCUGGGACGUGAGGAGUGGACCGAGAAACAGGAGUUGCAUGUUUAGCCCUCCACCCCCAGUUCCAUUAAACUGCCGCUGAAUUGUAAGGAAAUGCGCAGGCUGCACUUGCAAUUCGACCCUGAAGGGAGCGUAAGACAGGGCGAGGUGUUGGUCCCCUCAUUCUGGGAGCAAUCCUGGAGGAUGCAAAACUGGAUCUCUGCCUGAUGUACAGAAGUUACCAGAUUCCUGAAGACAAAUGAGAGAAUCAAAAUAAAAUAGAUGAAUGGCCAGUCUAUUCCCCAUAAUCAGCAAAAUUAUUUCUGACAGAUAACCAAUACCAAGAAAUACAGAUCUGAAAAUCAAGGUCCUGUAGAUGGUGUGCACAGCAUCCUUAUCCCCUACUAUUGUCAGUAGCUUUCUCCUCUAGACACAAUGCUGUGAAAAUUGAAAGCUUCUGUCCUGAAUACUUCAAGCAACCAUAUGUUUAUUUUGCCAUUCCUGCAAGCACUGCAGUAUCACUCAUUCUUCAACUCACAGAAUUAUAAUUUGGCCUCCAUAUUCAUCUCCAACAUCAGUAGCACUUUGCUUCUAUAUCUAUUUAUUGAAGACAUGUUUGGAUGUAGUGAAAAACCUGAAUUGGGAAUUUCCUAGCUGCAUGCAAUGCUUUUAUAGAUCAGUAACAGACAGAGAAGGAGGCAGAAGAGAUUAAGAACACUGCACUCAGAUGAGUGCAUGACUGUCAGCGAUGCAAGAUAAUAUUCCGCACUAAUAUUUUGAUGAUUCACUAAAUAUGAAAUGUAGCAAAGGAGAUCUAUAGGCCACCAGUCUUCCAGAUGCUCAUCCAUAUUUUGCACAUCAACCCAUUGAAUUCCAGCUGAUGUCGACAUUCCUGAUGAAACAGGUUUUGGAUCUGUUGAGGACCUUACAAAAGAGUGUUCUACCUACAGCAGUGUAAGGACAAGCUCAGCCACUGGGCAAGAUGAGACAGCACAGAGGCAGUGACUGGGCUCAGGUAGCAGGUGAGAAUGGAUACUCUUUGAAUGGAGUUCAUACAUUCACAUCCGGUUUUACCAAUAUCCUAUUCUGAAGCAGUGCUGUGUCAUGCCUAUCACUUUGUACCAGACCAAACAAGUGAAGUUCCGUGGUGUGUUGUAGGGCUAUGCAAUCUGUGAUUCUGUUCACAGUAGCAGUCAAGUUGGCAUCCAACAUCUGCAGAGGGAGCACGGACCCAUUUGGGAGCUAGUUUUGAAGUUCCUCAAGGAUAACCACUCCUACCACAGCAGACAUUCUCUCAAUCCCCUGCACCACCACUGCUUCCUUCAUCUCCUGUUCUAUAACGCAGAAUGGUACAUGACACAUCCAUC